RNAcentral lists this ribosomal RNA (299 nucleotides) under uncultured Pseudomonas sp. RNAcentral's name for it is "partial 16S ribosomal RNA". It matches the Rfam family "Bacterial small subunit ribosomal RNA", at positions 1087 to 1382 of the family's 1533-position model. The record is from RNAcentral. Lineage: Bacteria; Pseudomonadati; Pseudomonadota; Gammaproteobacteria; Pseudomonadales; Pseudomonadaceae.
CCGUAACGAGCGCAACCCUUGUCCUUAGUUACCAGCACGUUAUGGUGGGCACUCUAAGGAGACUGCCGGUGACAAACCGGAGGAAGGUGGGGAGUGACGUCAAGUCAUCAUGGCCCGUUACGGCCUGGGCUACACACGUGCUACAAUGGUCGGUACAAAGGGUUGCCAAGCCGCGAGGUGGAGCUAAUCCCAUAAAACCGAUCGUAGUCCGGAUCGCAGUCUGCAACUCGACUGCGUGAAGUCGGAAUCGCUAGUAAUCGUGAAUCAGAAUGUCACGGUGAAUACGUUCCCCGGGCCUU